This is a long non-coding RNA of Trichomycterus rosablanca, 267 nucleotides long. RefSeq lists it as uncharacterized. The record is from RefSeq and is a predicted model, not a curated record. The transcript has 3 exons. Lineage: Eukaryota; Metazoa; Chordata; Actinopteri; Siluriformes; Trichomycteridae.
GAUUUUGACAUGAUCAUGUUUUAUCUCCCAGUUUGAAACAGUCUACAGAUGCGGACUGUAACAUCUCGCAAGAAUCCGAGUUUUUGGAUGCUGCCUCCAGCUUGAAGAUGAAUACACACCAUGUGCGUGAACACAGUUCUGAACUUAUUCUAAACCUCUAGCAUGAUGAAGGCAGCACUGAAGAAAUUCACUCUAGAAGAAGACUGGCUGCUUUCUGGUUCGGUUUUUGGACCGCUUUUACUUCAUAUGAAUCCUACAUGACUAGGA